UAUUCCUACGGGAGGCAGCAGUGAGGAAUAUUGGUCAAUGGGAGAGAUCCUGAACCAGCCGAGCCGCGUGAGGGAAGACGGCCCUAUGGGUUGUAAACCUCCUUUGUCGGAGAACAAAACCCGGGACGUGUCCCGGACUGCGUGUAUCCGAAGAAAAAGCAUCGGCUAACUCCGUGCCAGCAGCCGCGGUAAUACGGAGGAUGCGAGCGUUAUCCGGAUUUAUUGGGUUUAAAGGGUGCGUAGGCGGUCCGUUAAGUCAGCGGUACAAUUGCUGGGCUCAACCCCGUCGAGCCGUUGCAACUGGG
Molecule: ribosomal RNA, 305 nt
Filed under: uncultured bacterium
Lineage: Bacteria
Description: bacterial SSU rRNA
Rfam family: Bacterial small subunit ribosomal RNA
Source: RNAcentral